This 205-nucleotide long non-coding RNA is filed under the name Panax ginseng (ginseng). RNAcentral's name for it is "long non-coding RNA (PGIN_LNC019246)". The record is from RNAcentral. Lineage: Eukaryota; Viridiplantae; Streptophyta; Magnoliopsida; Apiales; Araliaceae.
AAUAAGUGACGUUUUGGAAGAAAAAUUUUGUUCCAAAUUAUCUGUCGUUUACAACUUUCAAGGAGAAUAAAUUAUUUACUUUCCUAUAUCACCCUUACCUUCUCUCAUUGUUUAGUAUUAAUAGUUUUCAACUUCCCAUAAAAGGGUAGUGAUGGAAUUUCACACAGAUUUUAAUUAUUAAAUGAUAGUAUUAAAUUACUUUCUU